Molecule: unclassified non-coding RNA, 329 nt
Filed under: soil metagenome
Description: partial contains 5.8S ribosomal RNA, internal transcribed spacer 2, and large subunit ribosomal RNA
Rfam family: 5.8S ribosomal RNA (bases 1-120)
Source: RNAcentral
GAUGAAGAACGUAGCGAAAUGCGAUAAGUAGUGUGAAUUGCAGAAUUCAGUGAAUCAUCGAAUCUUUGAACGCACAUUGCGCCCCUUGGUAUUCCGGGGGGCAUAUCUGUUCGAGCGUCAUUACAACCCUCAAGCUCAGCUUGGUGUUGGGCCCCGCCGCCCCGGCGGGCCCUAAAGUCAGUGGCGGUGCCGUCCGGCUCCGAGCGUAGUAAUUCUUCUCGCUCUGGAGGUCCGGUCGUGUGCUCGCCAGCAACCCCCAAUUUUUUUCAGGUUGACCUCGGAUCAGGUAGGGAUACCCGCUGAACUUAAGCAUAUCAAUAAGCGGAGGA